This 542-nucleotide long non-coding RNA is filed under the name Nicotiana benthamiana. RNAcentral's name for it is "long non-coding RNA (NBEN_LNC039174)". The record is from RNAcentral. Lineage: Eukaryota; Viridiplantae; Streptophyta; Magnoliopsida; Solanales; Solanaceae.
GAAUUUGUCGAAGUGGUGGAACGAGCUUUCCUAUUAAAAGCUGCUAGGUGAAUCCCUAAAGUAGAUUAGUUCGAUCAGCAAGACCCGUCUCCGCAGCAUUGGAAUCAAUAUUUUGCUUGGCAUAGUUGCAGUACGACUUUCCUGGUCUAUUUAACUAACUGAAGCUAGCCGAGAUCGAGAGCUUUCUUAUCAUGCAGCUCCUGGAUUGAAAAGAGGCUGGUGGGCCAAGGCUUAAACUGCCAGACAGAGACGAGCUAGCUGGACUCUUACGUAAUUGAGUAUAGAAAGAGGAAUCGUCUUAUGUGCGGAUUGAAGUGCGUGAUAGAGAUAGAUGCUUCCGUAAGUUUACUUUUUUCAGGAAAGCUAAAUUCUUUUGUAGCAGCCAGAAAGAGAAAGAAAUCCCCUCUUCCGCUUAAGGCACCGAAGUCCCUGAGCUAAUAUCAAUAGCAGUAGAUUCAAGGGAAGUUCUUUCUAGAGCAGUAAGAGCCUAUUCUGUCUUGCUUUCUGAUUCAAUUCCGCUGCUAGGGUGAGCUAACUCCAAA